GGUUUUUUGAAAAAAAAAUAAAAAAUCUGACCUGCCCAGUGAGAUUUUCUUAAACGGCCGCAAUAAUUUAAUUGUGCUAAGGUAGCAUAGUCAAUUGUCUAUUAAUUGUAGACUGGAAUGAAUGGUUGGACUUAAAAAUAAUUGUCUUAAAAUAAAAGUGAAUUUUUUAUUUUUAUGAGGAGAUAAAAAUGAGAUAAAAAGACGAGAAGACCCUAUCAAGUUUUAUAUAAAUUAUUUUAACAUAAAGAUAGUGACACAUAUAAUAUGAUAUAUUAUGCUGGGGUGGUAUUAAUUUUAAAAAACAAUUAAUAAGGAUAAAACUAAGUGAGUGAUUUAGAUCCAAUUAUAUUGAUUAAAAGUCUAAAUUACUGUAGGGAUAACAGCGUAAUUUUAUUUAGAAGUUCAUAUUUAUGAUAAAGUUUGCGACCUCGAUGUUGGUUUAGGAAACCUAUUAAGUGAAGGAAUUUAAUAAGGUGGACUGUUCGUCCAUAAAAAUCCUAUA
RNAcentral lists this ribosomal RNA (502 nucleotides) under Newportia adisi. Its description in RNAcentral is "partial 16S small subunit ribosomal RNA". It matches the Rfam family "Bacterial large subunit ribosomal RNA", at positions 1819 to 2600 of the family's 2925-position model. Lineage: Eukaryota; Metazoa; Arthropoda; Chilopoda; Scolopendromorpha; Scolopocryptopidae. The record is from RNAcentral.